ACGCUCGACACCUACGGGAGCAGCAGUGAGGAAUAUUGGUCAAUGGGCGCUAGCCUGAACCAGCCAAGUAGCGUGAAGGAUGAAGGCUCUAUGGGUCGUAAACUUCUUUUAUAUAAGAAUAAAGUGCAGUAUGUAUACUGUUUUGUAUGUAUUAUAUGAAUAAGGAUCGGCUAACUCCGUGCCANCAGCCGACGGUAAUCUGAGGCGGGCGUGGACGAAGGC
RNAcentral lists this ribosomal RNA (222 nucleotides) under uncultured bacterium. Its description in RNAcentral is "partial 16S ribosomal RNA". It matches the Rfam family "Bacterial small subunit ribosomal RNA", at positions 328 to 545 of the family's 1533-position model. The record is from RNAcentral.